RNAcentral lists this ribosomal RNA (277 nucleotides) under Bacillus sp. CT. RNAcentral describes it as "partial 16S ribosomal RNA". It matches the Rfam family "Bacterial small subunit ribosomal RNA", at positions 1202 to 1482 of the family's 1533-position model. Lineage: Bacteria; Bacillati; Bacillota; Bacilli; Caryophanales; Bacillaceae. The record is from RNAcentral.
UUAUGACCUCGCGUACACUGUGUCCAAUGGAACGUACACCGGGACCAAGACCCCGCGGCUUAGCCAAUCCCAUAAAACCAUUCUCAGUUCGGAUUGCAGGCUGCAACUCGCCUGCAUGAAGCCGGAAUCGCUAGUAAUCGCGGAUCAGCAUGCCGCGGUGAAUACGUUCCCGGGCCUUGUACACACCGCCCGUCACACCACGAGAGUUUGUAACACCCGAAGUCGGUGGGGUAACCGUAAGGAGCCAGCCGCCUAAGGUGGACAGAUGAUGGGGGGG